This 451-nucleotide ribosomal RNA is filed under the name uncultured bacterium. RNAcentral describes it as "partial 16S ribosomal RNA". It matches the Rfam family "Bacterial small subunit ribosomal RNA", at positions 29 to 523 of the family's 1533-position model. The record is from RNAcentral.
AACGAACGCUGGCGGCAGGCUUAACACAUGCAAGUCGAACGGUUGUAGCAAUACAGCAGUGGCAGACGGGUGAGUAACACGUCGGAACCUUCCUAGGGGUACGGAACAACUCAGGGACACUUGAGCUAAUACCGUAUUCGUACGUGAGGAGAAAGGUUCAUCGCCUGUAGACGGGGCCGCGUCGGGUUAGCUAGUUGGUGGGGUCACGGCCUACCAAGGCGACGAUCCGUAGCUGAACUUAGAGGAUGAUCAGCCACACUGGGACUGAGACACGGCCCAGACUCCUACGGGAGGCAGUAGUGGGGAAUCUUGGACAAUGGGCGCAAGCCUGAUCCAGCCAUGCCGCGUGAGUGAAGAAGGUCUUCGGAUUGUAAAGCUCUUUUGCCAGGGACGAUAAUGACGGUACCUGGAGAAGAAGCCCCGGCAAACUUCGUGCCAGCCGCCGCAGUAA